GUCUUAGACCGCUGCGCCACUCGGGCGCCCAAGGUACAGAUCUAGGAUCAGCUUUCCCUCCCCCAAUGCUAACUAAAACCGUUAGGGGGGGAUGCUAAACUGUCCCAAAAUCAGCAUUUAGGAACAACUUCACUCAACUCCAAUAAGGUUAGCCCUACUGAAAUUAAGUAGUUUGUAUUGUGAACACAACAUUUAUGAUGUUGUCUUUGACUUUCACCCCUCAGAUUUGGAAAGUGAAAAACAAAGAGCUGGGUGGUUGUAGUAGAAGUUAGGGUUAGAGAGGAGGGCUGGUAGUAGUAGUUAGGGUUAGAGAGGAGGGCUGGUAGUAGUAGUUAGGGUUAGAGAGGAGGGCUGGUAGUAGUAGUUAGGGUUAGAGAGGAGGGCUAGUAGUAGUUAUUAGGGUUAGAGAGGAGGGCUGGUAGUAGUAGUUAG
Long non-coding RNA from Oncorhynchus tshawytscha (Chinook salmon), 432 nucleotides. The record is from Ensembl. NCBI's taxonomy places the organism in Eukaryota, Metazoa, Chordata, Actinopteri, Salmoniformes, Salmonidae.